Molecule: unclassified non-coding RNA, 292 nt
Organism: Sinocyclocheilus anshuiensis
Lineage: Eukaryota; Metazoa; Chordata; Actinopteri; Cypriniformes; Cyprinidae
Rfam family: Metazoan signal recognition particle RNA
About the family: The signal recognition particle (SRP) is a universally conserved ribonucleoprotein. It is involved in the co-translational targeting of proteins to membranes.
Source: Ensembl
GCCGGGUUCAGUGGCGGCGCCUGUAAUCCAAGCUACUGGGAGGCUGAGGCUGGCGGAUCGCUGGAGCUCAGGGCUUCUUCUGGGCUGCAGUGGACUAUGUCGAUCGGGUGUCCGCACUAAGUUCGGUAUCGAUAUGGUGCUCCUGGGGGAGCUCGGGACCACCAGGUCGUCUAAGGAGGGGUGAACCGGCCCAGGUCGGAGACGGAGCAGGUCAAAGCCCCCGUGUCGAUCAGUAGUGGGAUCGCGCCUGUGAAUAGACACUGCAGCGCAGCCUGAGCGAGACCCAGUCUCU